RNAcentral lists this ribosomal RNA (302 nucleotides) under uncultured bacterium. RNAcentral describes it as "partial 16S ribosomal RNA". It matches the Rfam family "Bacterial small subunit ribosomal RNA", at positions 508 to 809 of the family's 1533-position model. The record is from RNAcentral.
GCAGUAGCCGCGGUAAUACGUAGGGUGCGAGCGUUAAUCGGAAUUACUGGGCGUAAAGCGUGCGCAGGCGGCCUAUCCAGUCUGUCUUAAAAGUUCGGGGCUCAACCCCGUGAUGGGAUGGAAACUAGUAGGCUAGAGUAUCGGAGAGGAAAGCGGAAUCCCUAGUGUAGCGGUGAAAUGCGUAGAUAUUAGGAAGAACACCAGUGGCGAAGGCGGCUUUCUGGACGAAAACUGACGCUGAGGCGCGAAAGCCAGGGGAGCGAACGGGAUUAGAUACCCGAGUAGUCCCUGUCUCUUAUACA